RNAcentral lists this transfer RNA (74 nucleotides) under Leptospiraceae bacterium. RNAcentral's name for it is "tRNA-Met". It matches the Rfam family "tRNA". From Rfam's summary of the family: Transfer RNA (tRNA) molecules are approximately 80 nucleotides in length. Their secondary structure includes four short double-helical elements and three loops (D, anti-codon, and T loops). Further hydrogen bonds mediate the characteristic L-shaped molecular structure. tRNAs have two regions of fundamental functional importance: the anti-codon, which is responsible for specific mRNA codon recognition, and the 3' end, to which the tRNAs corresponding amino acid is attached (by aminoacyl-tRNA synthetases). tRNAs cope with the degeneracy of the genetic code in two manners: having more than one tRNA (with a specific anti-codon) for a particular amino acid; and 'wobble' base-pairing, i.e. permitting non-standard base-pairing at the 3rd anti-codon position. The record is from RNAcentral. Lineage: Bacteria; Pseudomonadati; Spirochaetota; Leptospiria; Leptospirales; Leptospiraceae.
GGCGACGUAGCUCAGUUGGUUAGAGCAACGGAAUCAUAAUCCGCAGGUCCAGGGUUCGAAUCCCCGCGUCGCUA